Molecule: long non-coding RNA, 834 nt
Filed under: Setaria viridis
Lineage: Eukaryota; Viridiplantae; Streptophyta; Magnoliopsida; Poales; Poaceae
Description: long non-coding RNA (SVIR_LNC009037)
Source: RNAcentral
UAACACACAGAGUGACGGAGAGACAAACUACAAUGUCGGCAGGUUCCAAGAGCGUCCUAGUUCCCACUGAUGCCGAGCUGCUGCAGGCACAAGCAGAUCUAUGGCGCCACAGCCUCUACUACCUCACCUCCAUGGCGUUCAAGUGUGCCGUCGAGCUCGGCGUCCCAACUGCCAUCCAUAACCUGGGAGGGGCUGCAUCGGUGAAGGACCUGGUAACAACACUAUCCCUCCCGGAAACUAAGCUGCCGUUCCUGCGCCGUGUGAUGCGGUUGCUGGUCACCUCUGGCAUCUUUGCAUCUGAAAGCAGCGCCGAUGUGGAGACCUACCGCCUCAACCCUCUCUCCUGGCUCCUGGUGGAAGGUGUGGAUGCUGAAGACCACACCAACCAGAGAAGUUUCGUGUUAGCCACUGUCUCGCGGCAUUAUGUUGAAGCAGCGAUGUCCCUUGCUGACUGGUUCAAGAAGGAUUUGGCGCCCCCUCUCCCAUCGCCGUUCGAGGAACUACAUGGUGUGCCACUCCUUCAUGAGAAAACACCACUCUUGGACAAAGAUCUUCACGACGUUGUUCUUGAAGGUUUGGCAGCACAUGACAAUUUGGCAAUAGGAACAAUUAUGCGGGAGUGCCAUGAUCUUUUCCGGGGGGUGCAGUCGCUAACUGACUGCUGUGGGGGAGAUGGCACCACGGCGAGGGCUAUCGUCAGGGCCCACCCUAACAUCAAGUGCACCGUGCUUGACCUACCAGAAGUCAUCAAGACUGCACCAGCUGAUGGUGUCAUAAACUACGUUGCGGGUGACAUGUUCAAAUCUGUCCCGCCAUCUCAAGCUGUGUUGCUCA